UACGGAGGGUGCAAACGUUGCUCGGAAUCAUUGGGCGUAAAGCGCACGUAGGCGGUCGGCUAUGUCGGAUGUGAAAGCCUCGGGCUUAACCCGAGAAGGGCAUCCGAAACUGGCCGGCUUGAGUACGGAAGAGGGUCUCGGAAUUCCCGGUGUAGAGGUGAAAUUCGUAGAUAUCGGGAGGAACACCAGUGGCGAAGGCGACUACCUGGCCUGUUUCUUGACGCUGAGGCGCGAAAGCUAGGGGAGCAAACGGG
RNAcentral lists this ribosomal RNA (254 nucleotides) under uncultured bacterium. RNAcentral describes it as "partial 16S ribosomal RNA". It matches the Rfam family "Bacterial small subunit ribosomal RNA", at positions 524 to 776 of the family's 1533-position model. The record is from RNAcentral.